This 74-nucleotide ribosomal RNA is filed under the name Acinetobacter baumannii. RNAcentral's name for it is "partial 16S ribosomal RNA". It matches the Rfam family "Bacterial small subunit ribosomal RNA", at positions 1 to 72 of the family's 1533-position model. The record is from RNAcentral. Lineage: Bacteria; Pseudomonadati; Pseudomonadota; Gammaproteobacteria; Moraxellales; Moraxellaceae.
UUUAACUGAAGAGUUUGAUCAUGGCUCAGAUUGAACGCUGGCGGCAGGCUUAACACAUGCAAGUCGAGCGGGGG